GACGAACGCUGGCGGCGGGCUUAACACAUGCAAGUCGAACGGAAAGGCCCUGCUUGUGUGGGGUGCUCGAUGGGCGAACGGGGGAGUAAGACGUGAGUAACCUGCCCUUGACUUUGGGAUAACUUCAGGAAACGGGGGCUAAUACCGGAUAGCAGCCCCUGCUGCAUGGUGGGGGUGGGAUAGUUUCGGCGGGUGGGGAUGGACUCGCGGCUUAUCAGCUUGUUGGUGGGGUAGUGGCUUACCAAGGCUUUGACGGGUAGCCGGCCUGAGAGGGGGAACGGCCACAUUGGGACUGAGGUACGGCCCAGACUGCUACGGGAGGCAGCAGUGGGGAAUAUUGCACAAUGGGCGGAAGCCUGAUGCAGCAACGCCGCGUGCGGGAUGACGGCCUUCGGGUUGUAAACCGCUUUCGCCUGUGACGAAGCGUGAGUGACGGUAAUGGAUAAAGAAGCACCGGCUAACUACGUG
This 468-nucleotide ribosomal RNA is filed under the name uncultured bacterium. Its description in RNAcentral is "partial 16S ribosomal RNA". It matches the Rfam family "Bacterial small subunit ribosomal RNA", at positions 28 to 507 of the family's 1533-position model. The record is from RNAcentral.